Molecule: long non-coding RNA, 423 nt
Filed under: Helianthus annuus (common sunflower)
Lineage: Eukaryota; Viridiplantae; Streptophyta; Magnoliopsida; Asterales; Asteraceae
Description: sRNA HanXRQr2_Chr12g0564441
Source: RNAcentral
GCGAUGGUGUCGGCGUAGGCGAACAAGCGGGUCACCUCGGUUCCGACGCAAACGCCAACGAUGGCUACGGUUCCGUCGCUAGACGACGAUGGCACCUACUCAAAGUCCUUUUCUCGAGAAAUCGGAAGAAUUGAGAAAAACCAACGGAGUGGCGGCGGUUCGGUUCUGUAGAAAUUGUUGGCGACGGUGAUUUUGCACGUGCAUUAAUAGGUCAGGAUGAUCAUAGAAGGCUACAUGAGGGGCGAAAUUUUGGUUUCGAUGAGAACCUGCUACGACGACGGUGCCGGGGGUUGGGAUGGGGGUUUUCUUUGCGGUGGUGAGGAGUGGUGGUGAGGAGUGGUUGGUUGUGGCCGGAAUCGUUAACGUUGGUUUUUGUAACCGAGAAGAAUACUGUGGGACUCUAGAGUUGUUUUACUUUUUAGU